Molecule: non-coding RNA, 649 nt
Organism: Tetranychus urticae (two-spotted spider mite)
Lineage: Eukaryota; Metazoa; Arthropoda; Arachnida; Trombidiformes; Tetranychidae
Source: RefSeq, a predicted model, not a curated record
AGUUUACAAGUUGAGACAAGGAUUAGUUGAAUUGGCCAAAAAUCUUAACAGUUUCUUCAACCAUACGACAAUCUUGAAUAACAUCAUGGAAAUCAAGUUAACGUGUUGGAUUGUUUUAGUGGUCCUUUGUCUCGUCAUGUUAAUUGUUAAAUCUAUUGAUGGUUCAAUCGCUUAUUUCGAGUCCUAUGGUUGGCCAAGCUACGGGAUUGUUAAACCAUUCUGGAUGAGACCAUUUUCAGAGUAUCCUGCUCGUUCAAUUUCUGGCUAUUCUAGGAAACAUUUUGUCCGUUCAGCUGGAAUCAUAUUAGGAUCGAGUAGCUAUUGAAUAAGAAAAAUUAAAUGCAACAAAUCACCGGCCAUUUAAAUAUGGAAGGUUUUGACAUAUAUUUAUAAAUCCAUCUACUCACCUUGAAAUCGCUGAUCACUAUUUAAUUUUCAUCUUCAUUCAGCUCACUUUAUGCAAUAAUUUUCAUGUAUAUAAUCAGUUAAAAUUAACUUAUUAACCAUAUUUGAAUUCAUUGGUAAACAAUGGCAAUUCAAUGUAUCCGAGCCAUUGCCAUUUCAAAAUUGCCAUUAACUGUACAAUCAUUAACAUUUUAUAUCCCCCUUAGAGUUCCUUGUAUAAAUAAUAAAAAUUAAUUAAUUUGAA